AUUGAACGCUGGCGGCAGGCCUAACACAUGCAAGUCGAGCGAGCGGCGGACGGGUGAGUAAUGGCUGGGAAACUGCCUGAUGGAGAGGGAUAACUACUGGAAACGGUAGCUAAUACUGCAUACCAUCAGAUGUGCCCAGAGGGGAUGAGCUAGUGGGUGGGGUAACGGCUCACCUAGGCGACGAUCCCUAACGGGUCCGAGAGGAUGACCAGCCAAACUGGAACUUAGACACGGGCCAGACUCCUACGGGAGGCAGCAGUGGGGAAUAUUGCACAAUGGGCGCAAGCCUGAUGCAGCCAUGCCGCGUGUGUGAAGAAGGCCUUCGGGUUGUAAAGCACUUUCAGCGGGGAGGCGUUACCCGCAGAAGAAGCACCGGCUAACUCCGUGCCAGCAGCCGCGGUAAUUC
Molecule: ribosomal RNA, 406 nt
Filed under: uncultured bacterium
Lineage: Bacteria
Description: partial 16S ribosomal RNA
Rfam family: Bacterial small subunit ribosomal RNA
Source: RNAcentral